GGGGAUUUAGCUUAGCGGCAUAAGCACCUGCCUGACAAGCAUGAGCUCAUAAGUUCAAUCCCCA
RNAcentral lists this transfer RNA (64 nucleotides) under Cavia porcellus (domestic guinea pig). It matches the Rfam family "tRNA". From Rfam's summary of the family: Transfer RNA (tRNA) molecules are approximately 80 nucleotides in length. Their secondary structure includes four short double-helical elements and three loops (D, anti-codon, and T loops). Further hydrogen bonds mediate the characteristic L-shaped molecular structure. tRNAs have two regions of fundamental functional importance: the anti-codon, which is responsible for specific mRNA codon recognition, and the 3' end, to which the tRNAs corresponding amino acid is attached (by aminoacyl-tRNA synthetases). tRNAs cope with the degeneracy of the genetic code in two manners: having more than one tRNA (with a specific anti-codon) for a particular amino acid; and 'wobble' base-pairing, i.e. permitting non-standard base-pairing at the 3rd anti-codon position. The record is from Rfam by way of RNAcentral. Lineage: Eukaryota; Metazoa; Chordata; Mammalia; Rodentia; Caviidae.